CGAUUAGAGUUUGAUCCUGGCUCAGAGCGAACGCUGGCGGCAGGCUUAACACAUGCAAGUCGAGCGCCCCGCAAGGGGAGCGGCAGACGGGUGAGUAACGCGUGGGAACGUACCUUUUGGUUCGGAACAACACAGGGAAACUUGUGCUAAUACCGGAUAAGCCCUUACGGGGAAAGAUUUAUCGCCGAAAGAUCGGCCCGCGUCUGAUUAGCUUGUUGGUGAGGUAACGGCUCACCAAGGCGACGAUCAGUAGCUGGUCUGAGAGGAUGAUCAGCCACAUUGGGACUGAGACACGGCCCAAACUCCUACGGGAGGCAGCAGUGGGGAAUAUUGGACAAUGGGCGCAAGCCUGAUCCAGCCAUGCCGCGUGAGUGAUGAAGGCCCUAGGGUUGUAAAGCUCUUUUAACGGGGAAGAUAAUGACGGUACCCGUAGAAUAAGCCCCGGCUAACUUCGUGCCAGCAGCCGCGGUAAUACGAAAGGGGCUAGCGUUGCUCGGAAUCACUGGGCGUAAAGGGUGCGUAGUGGAUCUUUAAGUCGGGGUGAAAUCCUGGAGCUCACUCCCAAACUGCCUUUGAUACUGAGGAUUUUGAGUUCGGGAAAGGUAAAUGGAACUGCAGGGGAAAGGUGAAAUUC
This 634-nucleotide ribosomal RNA is filed under the name uncultured bacterium. Its description in RNAcentral is "bacterial SSU rRNA". It matches the Rfam family "Bacterial small subunit ribosomal RNA", at positions 1 to 689 of the family's 1533-position model. The record is from RNAcentral.